Molecule: long non-coding RNA, 1003 nt
Organism: Heterocephalus glaber (naked mole-rat)
Lineage: Eukaryota; Metazoa; Chordata; Mammalia; Rodentia; Bathyergidae
Source: RefSeq, a predicted model, not a curated record
GGUGGCCGGAGAGCGCUGGAGCCGGCGGGAGAGACGCUGAUGUGAAGUGGGGAGGAGCAGAGCCAGCGGGAACCCGUGUCCUUCCCCCGCAGCCUGGCCUCUGCUGUGCAGCUGCUCGCCUGCCUGGCUGGAGCAGAGGCGGGCGGCUGCGGGCCUGGCUGCUGCCCUGCACACAGCAAGCCUGAAGAUCAGCGACAGUGUGUGCAAGGGAGCAACAACUGGCGCCCAGGGGACGUCUGGGGCUUCGGCUGUGCUUUCUGCCUUGUGGACCGUGCACACUUCUUUCGUGGCUCACACUAACAGAGAACAGACACUCCAAGGACUGGGUUCCAUCUUAGCCAGGUCGGGGUGGGACAGAGCCACCCAGGUAACUGCACGUCUUCCUAGAGUUUAAAGGAUGCUUGUCGCCUGGGGAGAAGUUUCACUGUCUCAAGUGGAAAACGUGCGACAGUGAUGUGUGAUUCUGCUCUCAGGGAGGCUGACUGCACUGUCAGAGAUUUGAGCCUUCCAUCCCAGGUCUGGGGCCCAUAUGCAUCUAGGGUCUCCCACGUGGCCCUGGACUCUCCCAUCUCAGCCUCCAGCUGGCUGGGCCUGCAGGGAUUGAGCUUAGGACCUCAUGCUUGCCAGGCAGGCGCUAUGCUGCUGAGCCACAUCCUACCACAGGAGGUGCACUUUCUACAUCUGGAGUGCGUGCAGUGGUGAGCUGGGAAGGGAACCUGGGUCCCUGCGGCACCGCCCACCUCUUGGAGAGGUGGAGCCUCACCUUGUGCAGGGCCAGAAUCUGAGAUCCAAGGGGCAUCUGCCUGCCCCAAAGCCAGGUUCUCAGCGGCUUCAUAGGGCUUAAAAAUGCUCACACUCUUUGAUUCAACAAUUGUACUUCUAGGAAUCCACGCUAAGGGAAUAAGUGGAAAUGUGUGCAAAGAAAUAGUGAUAAAGAUGUCUGUGAAAAACUUUUUACAACAAAAAAACAAACAAAAAUGUGUAUAUGCACCAACCCAAAAAA